Molecule: long non-coding RNA, 1155 nt
Organism: Vespula vulgaris
Lineage: Eukaryota; Metazoa; Arthropoda; Insecta; Hymenoptera; Vespidae
Exons: 4
Source: RefSeq, a predicted model, not a curated record
CAGAAGGAGCCGAUGUGCGGUGCUAAUAAAGUAUCUGUAAAUCUCAACACGUAUUAUUAGAAUUAAAGGAGUAAUUUUAUUUUGAUUAAAUUGUUUGCAUACUUUUCAAUUGAUUCAAUUCAUAAUGGAGUUCAUUGCUUUAAUGAUUGCCAUUACAGCAAUACUAAUUGGAUUAUUUUGUGGAAUAGUAAACAAUUUUUUAAAUAAAUUAUACAUAUAUAAUACGAUCAAAGGAUUCCCGGGCCCAAAAGCAUAUCCAAUUAUCGGAAAUGCUCAUUUGUUUAUCGGUAAUAUCGGAGACAUAACUAACCAAAUUCUAAAGAUAAGUAAAAAUUACCAAUCAAUAUUUCGUCUAUGGUUAGGUAUGCAAUUGUUUAUUGUAAUAAACAAUUCUGAAUGUAUCAAGAAUAUAUUGAAGAGUCCAAAUGUUACUGAACAAAUCGGAGGGUAUAGAAUCUUGAAACCUGCUUUGCGCAAUGGAGUGCUGACUGCUCCAAACGAAAUAUAUGUAUCCUCCAUUAUUUUUUAAUAUAUAAGAAAUUAUGUUACUACUAUACAUAUAUUUUUUCACGAUGAAAUUUUAUGAAAUUGAAUGAUAAGAUUUUUUUUCUUCUUUACAGAUAGAUUCUGUUGGACCGAUCUCAAUAAAAAUUAAAUACUUUCGUGGACCUUAGCCUAUUCAAGAAGAGGGAUAUUUCUUUAUCGAAAUAUUAUAAUAUUAAGACAUUACCAAUCUCAUCAAAUUUGUAGUACAUGGCUACAAUUCUUAUUAUGAAUUAAAUGCUCGUACUGCUCUAUCCCCUUUAAAUCUCGUCGUAUUUAGUAUUGUAAGCUUCAAAGUCUCAUUACGAACUGAAUAUUCUUAUUGCUCCUUCAGUCAGUGUUCAUUUACCUUGUUAGAUAUAGCAAAUUCAAUUAAAAGAGCAUUAGUACCUUGCUCCAUGAUAUGCCGGACGUAGGGAAAGAGUUAAUUAAUAGGAGAAAACAAAGAAUAUUUAUAAGAAAGCAUUCUUGAAAUUUAAAUAAUCUAUACAAAUAUUAAUUUAUAAAAAUUUCGAAAUUAGCAAUAAGAGUAAUUUUCAAGGACUGAUUAACUACUUAUUCGUUAUAUCAAACUAUAUAAAAUAAUGAAAUUCUAUUGGAUGAUUUUUAUAC